UACGGAGGGUGCAAGCGUUAUCCGGAUUCACUGGGUUUAAAGGGUGCGUAGGUGGGUCUGUAAGUCCGUGGUGAAAUCUCCGAGCUUAACUUGGAAACUGCCAUGGAUACUAUAGGUCUUGAAUACUGUGGAGGUCAGCGGAAUAUGUCAUGUAGCGGUGAAAUGCUUAGAUAUGACAUAGAACACCAAUUGCGAAGGCAGUUCACUAGGCCUGUAUUGACACUGAGGCACGAAAGCGUGGGGAUCAAACAGG
Molecule: ribosomal RNA, 253 nt
Filed under: uncultured bacterium
Lineage: Bacteria
Description: partial 16S ribosomal RNA
Rfam family: Bacterial small subunit ribosomal RNA
Source: RNAcentral